Molecule: ribosomal RNA, 467 nt
Filed under: uncultured bacterium
Lineage: Bacteria
Description: partial 16S ribosomal RNA
Rfam family: Bacterial small subunit ribosomal RNA
Source: RNAcentral
ACGAACGCUGGCGGCGUGCUUAACACAUGCAAGUCGAACGGAAAGGCCCUGCUUUUGUGGGGUGCUCGAGUGGCGAACAGGUGAGUAACCCGUGAGUAACCUGCCCUUGACUUUGGGAUAACUUCAGGAAACUGGGGCUAAUACCGGAUAGGAGCUCCUGCUGCAUGGGGGGGGUUGGAAAGUUUCGGCGGGUGGGGAUGGACUCGCGGCUUAUCAGCUUGUUGGUGGGGUAGUGGCUUACCAAGGCUUUGACGGGUAGCCGGCCUGAGAGGGUGACCGGCCACAUUGGGACUGAGAUACGGCCCAGACUCCUACGGGAGGCAGCAGUGGGGAAUAUUGCACAAUGGGCGGAAGCCUGAUGCAGCAACGCCGCGUGCGGGAUGACGGCCUUCGGGUUGUAAACCGCUUUCGCCUGUGACGAAGCGUGAGUGACGGUAAUGGGUAAAGAAGCACCGGCUAACUACGUG